This 440-nucleotide ribosomal RNA is filed under the name uncultured bacterium. Its description in RNAcentral is "partial 16S ribosomal RNA". It matches the Rfam family "Bacterial small subunit ribosomal RNA", at positions 338 to 794 of the family's 1533-position model. The record is from RNAcentral.
CCUACGGGGGGCUGCAGUAACGAAUCUUCCGCAAUGCACGAAAGUGUGACGGAGCGACGCCGCGUGGAGGACGAAGUCCUUCGGGAUGUAAACUCCUGUCAGGGGCCACCAAGUCCUGAGGGGCCCCAGAGGAAGGCACGGCUAACUCUGUGCCAGCAGCCGCGGUAAGACAGAGGUGCCGAGCGUUAGGCGGAAUCACUGGGCUUAAAGCGCGUGUAGGCGGGUCGUUAAGUACCUUGUGAAAUCCCACGGCUCAACCGUGGAACUGCUGGGUAUACUGGCGAUCUUGAGUCAUCUAGGGGCAGCCGGAACAGGCGGUGGAGCGGUGAAAUGCGUAGAUAUCGCCUGGAACGCCGAAGGUGAAGACAGGCUGCUGGGGAUGCUACUGACGCUGAGACGCGAAAGCCAGGGGAGCGAACGGGAUUAGAUACCCUUGUAGU